This 527-nucleotide ribosomal RNA is filed under the name Anastrepha hamadryas. Its description in RNAcentral is "partial small subunit ribosomal RNA". The stretch from base 396 to 527 matches the Rfam family "Bacterial large subunit ribosomal RNA", at positions 2473 to 2605 of the family's 2925-position model. The record is from RNAcentral. Lineage: Eukaryota; Metazoa; Arthropoda; Insecta; Diptera; Tephritidae.
AAACAUGUCUUUUUGAUUUAAAUUUAAAGUCUAGCCUGCCCACUGAAUUAAUUUUAAAUGGCCGCAGUAUUUUGACUGUGCAAAGGUAGCAUAAUCAUUAGUCUUUUAAUUGAAGACUGGAAUGAAUGGUUGGACGAGGUAUGAGCUGUUUCAUAUAAAUUUAUUAUAGAAUUUUAUAUUUUAGUUAAAAAGCUAAAAUUUUAUUAAAAGACGAGAAGACCCUAUAAAUCUUUAUAUUUAAUAUUAUUUAAAUUUUUUGGAUUUAUUUUAUUUUUAUAUAAUUAAAUAUUUUGUUGGGGUGAUGUUAAAAUUUAAUGAACUUUUAAUUAUUUAGAAUCAUUAAUUUAUGAAUUAUUGAUCCAUUAGUAUUGAUUAUAAGAUUAAGUUACUUUAGGGAUAACAGCGUAAUUUUUUUUAAGAGUUCAUAUCGACAAAAAAGUUUGCGACCUCGAUGUUGGAUUAAGAAUAAUUUUGGGUGUAGCUGUUCAAAUAUUAAGUCUGUUCGACUUUUAAAUUCUUACAUGAUC